GGGGCUGAUUCUGGAUUCGACGGGAUUUGCGAAACCCAAGGUGCAUGCCGAGGGGCGGUUGGCCUCGUAAAAAGCCGUAAAAAAUAGUCGCAAACGACGAAAACUACGCUUUAGCAGCUUAAUAACCUGCUUAGAGCCCUCUCUCCCUAGCCUCCGCUCUUAGGACGGGGAUCAAGAGAGGUCAAACCCAAAAGAGAUCGCGUGGAAGCCCUGCCUGGGGUUGAAGCGUUAAAACUUAAUCAGGCUAGUUUGUUAGUGGCGUGUCCGUCCGCAGCUGGCAAGCGAAUGUAAAGACUGACUAAGCAUGUAGUACCGAGGACGUAGGAAUUUCGGACGCGGGUUCAACUCCCGCCAGCUCCACCA
This 363-nucleotide transfer-messenger RNA is filed under the name Escherichia coli. RNAcentral's name for it is "Standard tmRNA". It matches the Rfam family "transfer-messenger RNA". Rfam says of the family: Bacterial tmRNA, also known as 10Sa RNA or SsrA, is named for its dual tRNA and mRNA-like properties. Its role is to liberate the mRNA from a stalled ribosome. The record is from RNAcentral. Lineage: Bacteria; Pseudomonadati; Pseudomonadota; Gammaproteobacteria; Enterobacterales; Enterobacteriaceae.